GACGAACGCUGGCGGCGUGCCUAAUACAUGCAAGUUGAGCGAUGAAGAUUGGUGCUUGCACCAAUUUGAAGAGCAGCGAACGGGUGAGUAACGCGUGGGGAAUCUGCCUUUGAGCGGGGGACAACAUUUGGAAACGAAUGCUAAUACCGCAUAACAACUUUAAACAUAAGUUUUAAGUUUGAAAGAUGCAAUUGCAUCACUCAAAGAUGAUCCCGCGUUGUAUUAGCUAGUUGGUGAGGUAAAGGCUCACCAAGGCGAUGAUACAUAGCCGACCUGAGAGGGUGAGCGGCCACAUUGGGACGGAGACACGGCCCAAACUCCUACGGGAGGCAGCAGUAGGGAAUCUUCGGCAAUGGACGAAAGUCUGACCGAGCAACGCCGCGUGAGUGAAGAAGGUUUUCGGAUCGUAAAACUCUGUUGGUAGAGAAGAAAGUUGGUGAGAGUGGAAAGCUCAUCAAGUGACGGUAACUACCCAGAAAGGGACGGCUAACUACGUG
Molecule: ribosomal RNA, 497 nt
Filed under: uncultured bacterium
Lineage: Bacteria
Description: partial 16S ribosomal RNA
Rfam family: Bacterial small subunit ribosomal RNA
Source: RNAcentral